UCGUGGGGUACGCUCUACACCCUUUGUGACAUACCUACAACUGUUGCUUCGGCGGGUAGGGUCUCCGCGACCCUCCCGGCCUCCCGCCUCCGGGCGGGUCGGCGCCCGCCGGAGGAUAACCAAACUCUGAUUUAACGACGUUUCUUCUGAGUGGUACAAGCAAAUAAUCAAAACUUUUAACAACGGAUCUCUUGGUUCUGGCAUCGAUGAAGAACGCAGCGAAAUGCGAUAAGUAAUGUGAAUUGCAGAAUUCAGUGAAUCAUCGAAUCUUUGAACGCACAUUGCGCCCGCCAGCAUUCUGGCGGGCAUGCCUGUUCGAGCGUCAUUUCAACCCUCAAGCUCUGCUUGGUGUUGGGGCCCUACAGCCGAUGUAGGCCCUCAAAGGUAGUGGCGGACCCUCCCGGAGCCUCCUUUGCGUAGUAACUUUACGUCUCGCACUGGGAUCCGGAGGGACUCUUGCCGUAAAACCCCCCAAUUUUCCAAAGGUUGACCUCGGAUCAGGUAGGAAUACCCGCUGAACUUAAGCAUAUCAAAAGCCGGGGGAGAAAAUC
RNAcentral lists this ribosomal RNA (551 nucleotides) under Colletotrichum gloeosporioides. RNAcentral's name for it is "eukaryotic LSU rRNA". The stretch from base 172 to 325 matches the Rfam family "5.8S ribosomal RNA". Lineage: Eukaryota; Fungi; Ascomycota; Sordariomycetes; Glomerellales; Glomerellaceae. The record is from RNAcentral.